AGGUUAAGUGAAUAAGGGCGCACGGUGGAUGCCUUGGC
Molecule: ribosomal RNA, 38 nt
Filed under: Enterococcus faecalis
Lineage: Bacteria; Bacillati; Bacillota; Bacilli; Lactobacillales; Enterococcaceae
Description: partial 23S ribosomal RNA
Source: RNAcentral